Molecule: ribosomal RNA, 429 nt
Filed under: Actinomycetes bacterium
Lineage: Bacteria; Bacillati; Actinomycetota; Actinomycetes
Description: Actinobacteria bacterium partial 16S ribosomal RNA
Rfam family: Bacterial small subunit ribosomal RNA
Source: RNAcentral
UAGGGAAUCUUCCGCAAUGGGCGAAAGCCUGACGGAGCAACGCCGCGUGAGUGAUGAAGGUCUUCGGAUCGUAAAACUCUGUUAUUAGGGAAGAACAAAUGUGUAAGUAACUAUGCACGUCUUGACGGUACCUAAUCAGAAAGCCACGGCUAACUACGUGCCAGCAGCCGCGGUAAUACGUAGGUGGCAAGCGUUAUCCGGAAUUAUUGGGCGUAAAGCGCGCGUAGGCGGUUUAUUAAGUCUGAUGUGAAAGCCCACGGCUCAACCGUGGAGGGUCAUUGGAAACUGGAAAACUUGAGUGCAGAAGAGGAAAGUGGAAUUCCAUGUGUAGCGGUGAAAUGCGCAGAGAUAUGGAGGAACACCAGUGGAGAAGGCGACUUACUGGUCUGUAACUGACGCUGAUGUGCGAAAGCGUGGGGAUCAAACAGG